GGGGAAUAUUGGACAAUGGGCGCAAGCCUGACGACGCAACGCCGCGUGGAGGAUGAAGGUCUUCGGAUUGUAAACUCCUGUCGAACGGGACGAACACCUUUCGGUUUAAUACUCCGAGAGGCUGACGGUACCGUGAGAGGAAGCCCCGGCUAACUCUGUGCCAGCAGCCGCGGUAAUACGGGGGGGGCAAGCGUUGUUCGGAAUUACUGGGCGUAAAGGGCGCGUAGGCGGCCUGCUAAGUCACACGUGAAAUCCCUCGGCUCAACCGGGGAACUGCGUGUGAUACUGGCGGGCUCGAAUUCGGGAGAGGGAUGUGGAAUUCCAGGUGUAGCGGUGAAAUGCGUAGAUAUCUGGAGGAACACCGGUGGCGAAGGCGGCAUCCUGGACCGAGAUUGACGCUGAUGCGCGAAAGCUAGGGGAGCAAAC
RNAcentral lists this ribosomal RNA (426 nucleotides) under uncultured bacterium. RNAcentral's name for it is "bacterial SSU rRNA". It matches the Rfam family "Bacterial small subunit ribosomal RNA", at positions 356 to 773 of the family's 1533-position model. The record is from RNAcentral.